This 376-nucleotide long non-coding RNA is filed under the name Drosophila guanche. The record is from RNAcentral. Lineage: Eukaryota; Metazoa; Arthropoda; Insecta; Diptera; Drosophilidae.
CAUGGACGAAUAUAGAAAAUCUCUAUCAACAGAUUGCUUUCUAUAGGUAUAUAUAUUUCCAAUGGAAGAGUUAUAGUAUGUGUACCAAGUAUAAACGAUAUCUUAAUGGGGGGGUUUUACAUUGUAAUCGCCGACUGCUGAUAACAAGCACACUUCUACAGGGGAGAGAGAGGCACUUACACGGUUUGAGCCAGCGAACAUUAUGUGGCCAGUCAGUCAGCCUCUUGGCAUUCCAUUUGACUUGGUUUUUAGCGCACACACAGAGAGGAUUUCCAUCUGCAUAAUUAACCCGGCUGAGUAACCCUUGCAACUGCGACCUCUUGCUCAGCGAAUGUCAAGUCAAGAAAAGUUCUGGUUCCCCCCCCCCAAACAGAGC